AGGCUUAACUCAUGCAAGUCGAGCGCCCCGCAAGGGGGAGCGGCAGACCGGGUGAGUAACGCGUGGGAAUGUACCCAACCCUACGGAAUAACGCAUGGAAACGUGUGCUAAUACCGUAUACGCCCUUUGGGGGAAAGAUUUAUCGGGGAUGGAUGAGCCCGCGUUGGAUUAGCUAGUUGGUGGGGUAAAGGCCUACCAAGGCGACGAUCCAUAGCUGGUCUGAGAGGAUGAUCAGCCACAUUGGGACUGAGACACGGCCCAAACUCCUACGGGAGGCAGCAGUGGGGAAUAUUGGACAAUGGGCGCAAGCCUGAUCCAGCCAUGCCGCGUGAGUGAUGAAGGCCCUAGGGUUGUAAAGCUCUUUCACCGGAGAAGAUAAUGACGGUAUCCGGAGAAGAAGCCCCGGCUAACUUCGUGCCAGCAGCCGCGGUAAUACGAAGGGGGCUAGCGUUGUUCGGAAUUACUGGGCCGUAAAGCGCACGUAGGCGGACAUUUAAGUCAGGGGUGAAAUCCCGGGGCUCAACCUCGGAACUGCCUUUGAUACUGGGUGUCUUGAGUGUGGAAAAAGUCAAGUGGAAUUGCGAGUGUAGAAGNGAAAUUCG
Molecule: ribosomal RNA, 602 nt
Filed under: Rhizobium sp. PRF61
Lineage: Bacteria; Pseudomonadati; Pseudomonadota; Alphaproteobacteria; Hyphomicrobiales; Rhizobiaceae
Description: bacterial SSU rRNA
Rfam family: Bacterial small subunit ribosomal RNA
Source: RNAcentral